This 498-nucleotide ribosomal RNA is filed under the name uncultured Glomeromycotina. Its description in RNAcentral is "partial small subunit ribosomal RNA". It matches the Rfam family "Eukaryotic small subunit ribosomal RNA", at positions 591 to 1092 of the family's 1831-position model. The record is from RNAcentral. Lineage: Eukaryota; Fungi; Glomeromycota.
CCAAUAGCGUAUAUUAAAGUUGUUGCAGUUAAAAAGCUCGUAGUUGAAUUUCGGGGUUCUACCGUUGGUCAGGCUAACAAGUCUGUACUGGUGUGUAGAAUUUCUACCCUCUGGGGAACCAUCAUGUUAUUAAUUUAGCGUGGUGGGAAACCAGGACCUUUACCUUGAAAAAAUUAGAGUGUUCAAAGCAGGCUUACGUCUGAAUACAUUAGCAUGGAAUAAUAAAAUAGGACGGUGGUCCUGUUUUGUUGGUUUCUGAAUCACCGUAAUGAUUAAUAGGGAUAGUUGGGGGCAUUAGUAUUCAAUUGUCAGAGGUGAAAUUCUUGGAUUUAUUGAAGACUAACUUCUGCGAAAGCAUUUGCCAAGGAUGUUUUCAUUAAUCAAGAACGAAAGUUAGGGGAUCGAAGACGAUCAGAUACCGUCGUAGUCUUAACCAUAAACUAUGCCGACUAGGGAUCGGACGAUGUUAACUUUUAUUGACUCGUUCGGCGCCUUACG